This 1253-nucleotide ribosomal RNA is filed under the name Klebsiella pneumoniae. Its description in RNAcentral is "partial 23S ribosomal RNA". It matches the Rfam family "Bacterial large subunit ribosomal RNA", at positions 398 to 1656 of the family's 2925-position model. Lineage: Bacteria; Pseudomonadati; Pseudomonadota; Gammaproteobacteria; Enterobacterales; Enterobacteriaceae. The record is from RNAcentral.
UGUGAACUCGAAGAGUAGGGCGGGACACGUGGUAUCCUGUCUGAAUAUGGGGGGACCAUCCUCCAAGGCUAAAUACUCCUGACUGACCGAUAGUGAACCAGUACCGUGAGGGAAAGGCGAAAAGAACCCCGGCGAGGGGAGUGAAAAAGAACCUGAAACCGUGUACGUACAAGCAGUGGGAGCACCUUCGGGUGUGACUGCGUACCUUUUGUAUAAUGGGUCAGCGACUUAUAUUCUGUAGCAAGGUUAACCGUAUAGGGGAGCCGCAGGGAAACCGAGUCUUAACUGGGCGUUAAGUUGCAGGGUAUAGACCCGAAACCCGGUGAUCUAGCCAUGGGCAGGUUGAAGGUUGGGUAACACUAACUGGAGGACCGAACCGACUAAUGUUGAAAAAUUAGCGGAUGACUUGUGGCUGGGGGUGAAAGGCCAAUCAAACCGGGAGAUAGCUGGUUCUCCCCGAAAGCUAUUUAGGUAGCGCCUCGUGAACUCAUCUUCGGGGGUAGAGCACUGUUUCGGCUAGGGGGUCAUCCCGACUUACCAACCCGAUGCAAACUACGAAUACCGAAGAAUGUUAUCACGGGAGACACACGGCGGGUGCUAACGUCCGUCGUGAAGAGGGAAACAACCCAGACCGCCAGCUAAGGUCCCAAAGUCAUGGUUAAGUGGGAAACGAUGUGGGAAGGCACAGACAGCCAGGAUGUUGGCUUAGAAGCAGCCAUCAUUUAAAGAAAGCGUAAUAGCUCACUGGUCGAGUCGGCCUGCGCGGAAGAUGUAACGGGGCUAAACCAUGCACCGAAGCUGCGGCAGCGACACUAUGUGUUGUUGGGUAGGGGAGCGUUCUGUAAGCCUGCGAAGGUGUGCUGUGAGGCAUGCUGGAGGUAUCAGAAGUGCGAAUGCUGACAUAAGUAACGAUAAAGCGGGUGAAAAGCCCGCUCGCCGGAAGACCAAGGGUUCCUGUCCAACGUUAAUCGGGGCAGGGUGAGUCGACCCCUAAGGCGAGGCCGAAAGGCGUAGUCGAUGGGAAACAGGUUAAUAUUCCUGUACUUGGUGUUACUGCGAAGGGGGGACGGAGAAGGCUAUGUUAGCCGGGCGACGGUUGUCCCGGUUUAAGCAUGUAGGCUGGUUGUCCAGGCAAAUCCGGAUAAUCAAGGCUGAGGUGUGAUGACGAGGCACUACGGUGCUGAAGUAACAAAUGCCCUGCUUCCAGGAAAAGCCUCUAAGCAUCAGGUAACAUUAAAUCGUACCCCAAACCG